This 429-nucleotide ribosomal RNA is filed under the name Chloroflexota bacterium. RNAcentral's name for it is "Chloroflexi bacterium partial 16S ribosomal RNA". It matches the Rfam family "Bacterial small subunit ribosomal RNA", at positions 355 to 776 of the family's 1533-position model. Lineage: Bacteria; Bacillati; Chloroflexota. The record is from RNAcentral.
UGUGGAAUAUUGCACAAUGGGCGCAAGCCUGAUGCAGCCAUGCCGCGUGUAUGAAGAAGGCCUUCGGGUUGUAAAGUACUUUCAGUCGGGAGGAAGGUGGUAAGGUUAAUAACCUUAUCAAUUGACGUUACCGACAGAAGAAGCACCGGCUAACUCCGUGCCAGCAGCCGCGGUAAUACGGAGGGUGCAAGCGUUAAUCGGAAUUACUGGGCGUAAAGCGCACGCAGGCGGUUGAUUGAGUCAGAUGUGAAAUCCCCGGGCUUAACCCGGGAAUUGCAUCUGAUAAUGGUCAGCUAGAGUCUUGUAGAGGGGGGUAGAAUUCCAUGUGUAGCGGUGAAAUGCGUAGAGAUGUGGAGGAAUACCGGUGGCGAAGGCGGCCCCCUGGACAAAGACUGACGCUCAGGUGCGAAAGCGUGGGGAGCAAACAGG